GACGAACCGUGCGAACGUUAUUCGGAAUCACUGGGCUUAAAGCGCGUGUAGGCGGGAGGGCACGUCCGUCGCUGAAAGCCCCCAGCUCAACUGGGGAAGUGCCUUGGAUACUGAUUUGCUCGAGGGAGGUAGGGGUCGCGGGAACUUCCGGUGGAGCGGUGAAAUGCGUUGAUAUCGGAAGGAACGCCGGUGGCGAAAGCGCGCGACUGGACCUCUUCUGACGCUGAGGCGCGAAAGCCAGGGGAG
RNAcentral lists this ribosomal RNA (246 nucleotides) under uncultured bacterium. RNAcentral describes it as "partial 16S ribosomal RNA". It matches the Rfam family "Bacterial small subunit ribosomal RNA", at positions 524 to 768 of the family's 1533-position model. The record is from RNAcentral.